UACAGAGGUCUCAAGCGUUGUUCGGAUUCAUUGGGCGUAAAGGGUGCGUAGGUGGCGUGGUAAGUCGGGUGUGAAAUUUCGGAGCUUAACUCCGAAACUGCAUUCGAUACUGCCGUGCUUGAGGACUGGAGAGGAGACUGGAAUUUACGGUGUAGCAGUGAAAUGCGUAGAGAUCGUAAGGAAGACCAGUGGCGAAGGCGGGUCUCUGGACAGUUCCUGACACUGAGGCGCGAAGGCCAGGGGAGCAAACGGG
RNAcentral lists this ribosomal RNA (253 nucleotides) under uncultured bacterium. Its description in RNAcentral is "partial 16S ribosomal RNA". It matches the Rfam family "Bacterial small subunit ribosomal RNA", at positions 524 to 776 of the family's 1533-position model. The record is from RNAcentral.